Molecule: non-coding RNA, 1887 nt
Organism: Macaca mulatta (Rhesus monkey)
Lineage: Eukaryota; Metazoa; Chordata; Mammalia; Primates; Cercopithecidae
Source: RefSeq, a predicted model, not a curated record
AAGUGAUCCACCUGCCUCAGCCUCCCAAAGUGCAGGGAUUACAGGUGUGAGCCACUGUGGCUGGUCUGAUUGAGCUUUUAGAUAGCAAAGAAUGGAGAAGGAACGAAAUCAUGGAAAACUAAGGCCUGAAUUCCAGUCAGCCUCAUUCCCACUGAUACAAGCUUUUCCCUACCCCUCCCUUCCUUCACCCCCUCCCUUUAAUGCACCCCCACAAUGCAUUAAAGCUGCUUGCAUCCUACUCUCCUAUCCUGUGUAGGUCUUUAUCACCAGGACAGGGCUCCACAGAUAGGAAGUACCCAUCCUUUGUUCUGUGUCUGAUAUGGGCAUUUGAUAUGGUUAGAAGUGCUCUCACAUACAUGCAUCUCAUUAGACUCUCACAGGUCUGUAGGGAGCUGUUAUUAGGCCCUACAUCAGUGAGGAUACCGAUGCUCAGAGCUGCGAAUCAGGUUAGAGGUUCAGUAGGGCUAGGAACACUCCUCAUGGCAAAUGAGGACAGAGAGCUAGUUUAAAGAGGUAACUUUUUCAAAUGACCAUACAUCCUAUGCUGUGACCACAGUAGCUCUGGUGGGGACUGUUUUAGUCUUUUUGCCUAAUUGAUUACAGUUAUAUUUCUAAACUGGUGUCCUUUGAUGAUGGCAUCAUCAGAAGAUCAUUUGUAAUAGUGAUAAUUAGGGGAACGUCCCUGAGAAGGAAUAUGGGUAGUUAGUAGUAAUCAUAUGUUCCACCCAGGCUUUGGGGGAAGUGUUAAAAGGAAGUCAAGAUAUUGGAGAAGCAUCAUUUUGCAGAGUCAGUGUAAUUGUAACCUGGUCUGUGAUUUCGGAGAAUUAAAGCCUUCCUGCCUAAGAACCACCUGCCUAGUAGUCACUCUUCUACACUCCUCUAAAAUGUGACAGCCCUGCUCUUUUUGCCUGCUGUCAUCCACAUAAGAUGUAACUUUCUCCUCUUUGCCAUCUGCCAUGAUUGUGAGACCUCCCCAGCCAGAUGGAACCGAAGUGGAGUCUCUGGAGCCGCCCAGCAGCAGCCUCAUUACUCAGAAGAUGCUGAGGAAAACCUAGACGGGAAGAAAGGAAGAAAAAGCGUCCUCUAUGUUUAUAAAGUGUCACUGGUGACUGAAAUGGCAUCCUCUCUGAAGAUCUGGGGCAGUCCCUUGGCCCUGCUUUGCAUUCUUUGCAGGCUGCUUGUACAUAGCAAGGACGUUUCCUGGAAAGAAUUCAUGACACUGCACUACUUAGAUCCAAGCCGAGAUUUUGAAGACUGCAAAUGUGAUGCCCUCAUGAGAGAAAAAGCGGUUCUGAAAGACAAGAGCUCUUAUAUGUCCAUCUAUAGCUUAUGGCACAAAAUGGAGUAUAUAUGCAUUAUUGAAGUGGGAAUAACUGAUGUAGAAAUGCCUAUGUAUGGGCCCAGGGUGCCAUCAAAGUACUCGAGUGUCAGUGGGAGAAGUACAACAAUAGCUACACAGAGAGCUUCAACUACAUUGAAUUCCACUGUUGCAAGGAUGGGUAUGUUGAUAGCAUAGGAGACCUGAGGAUGGUGGAGCCUGUCAACAACUAGAAGAUCUAUGCAUAUCCUCAGGAAUUGGUAUUCAGUGCUUCCCAAGUGGUGGCCACUGCCUCCAUCAAUAGCCCCUGACAUUGCACUUAUGUGUCAGUGUUUUCCAAAACUUAGAAUUAUGAGUCGCAUCACUUCUUGAUACCAUAACCUUGCCUGUGUUGUUUCUCUGCCUGGAAUACACUUUUGUCUUCAUUUACCUAGUUUAUUCCUACACAUUUGUCAAGCUUCAGCUUGUAAUGCAUCUGAUGUUUGAUAACCAAGAUUUUUCCUGAUAUUCACUCUAAACCUACCCAGGGUGAAUGAUCUUCCCUUCCCUAAAUAAAUUGUAUUAUCCAA